RNAcentral lists this transfer RNA (65 nucleotides) under Lamiinae sp. 1 ACP-2013. Its description in RNAcentral is "tRNA-Trp". Lineage: Eukaryota; Metazoa; Arthropoda; Insecta; Coleoptera; Cerambycidae. The record is from RNAcentral.
UAAGGAUUUAAGUUAAAAUAAACUAUUAACCUUCAAAGUUAAAAAUAGAUAUGAUUCUAAGCCUU